This 253-nucleotide ribosomal RNA is filed under the name uncultured bacterium. Its description in RNAcentral is "partial 16S ribosomal RNA". It matches the Rfam family "Bacterial small subunit ribosomal RNA", at positions 524 to 776 of the family's 1533-position model. The record is from RNAcentral.
UACGAGAGGCGCAAACGUUAUUCGGAAUUACUGGGCUUAAAGAGUUCGUAGGCGGCGCAGAAAGUCGGGUGUGAAAGCCCUCGGCUCAACCGAGGAAUUGCGCUCUAAACUACUGUGCUUGAGGGACCUAGAGGUGAGCGGAACUGAUGGUGGAGCGGUGAAAUGCGUUGAUAUCAUCAGGAACACCGGUGGCGAAGGCGGCAUCCUGGACCGGCAUUGACGCUGAGGCGCGAAAGCCAGGGGAGCAAACGGG